This 450-nucleotide ribosomal RNA is filed under the name uncultured bacterium. RNAcentral's name for it is "partial 16S ribosomal RNA". It matches the Rfam family "Bacterial small subunit ribosomal RNA", at positions 354 to 796 of the family's 1533-position model. The record is from RNAcentral.
GUGGGGAAUAUUGGGCAAUGGGCGAAAGCCUGAUCCAGCCAUGCCGCGUGUGUGAAGAAGGUCUUCGGAUUGUAAAGCACUUUAAGUUGGGAGGAAGGGCAGUAAGUUAAUACCUUGCUGUUUUGACGUUACCGACAGAAUAAGCACCGGCUAACUUCGUGCCAGCAGCCGCGGUAAUACGAAGGGUGCAAGCGUUAAUCGGAAUUACUGGGCGUAAAGCGCGCGUAGGUGGUUUUGUAAGUUGGAGGUGAAAUCCCCGGGCUCAACCUGGGAACUGCCUCCAAAACUGCAUGACUAGAGUACGGUAGAGGGUAGUGGAAUUUCCUGUGUAGCGGUGAAAUGCGUAGAUAUAGGAAGGAACACCAGUGGCGAAGGCGACUACCUGGACUGAUACUGACACUGAGGUGCGAAAGCGUGGGGAGCAAACAGGAUUAGAUACCCCAGUAGUCC